UACGGGGGGGGCAAGCGUUGUUCGGAAUUACUGGGCGUAAAGGGCUCGUAUGUGGCCAACUAAGUCAUACGUGAAAUCCCUCGGCUUAACCGGGGAACUGCGUCUGAUACUGGAUGGCUUGAGGUUGGGAGAGGGAUGCGGAAUUCCAGGUGUAGCGGUGAAAUGCGUAGAUAUCUGGAGGAACACCGGUGGCGAAGGCGGCAUCCUGGACCAAUUCUGACACUGAGGAGCGAAAGCCAGGGGAGCAAACGGG
This 253-nucleotide ribosomal RNA is filed under the name uncultured bacterium. RNAcentral's name for it is "partial 16S ribosomal RNA". It matches the Rfam family "Bacterial small subunit ribosomal RNA", at positions 524 to 776 of the family's 1533-position model. The record is from RNAcentral.